Long non-coding RNA from Hylaeus anthracinus, 8225 nucleotides. RefSeq lists it as uncharacterized. Lineage: Eukaryota; Metazoa; Arthropoda; Insecta; Hymenoptera; Colletidae. The transcript has 2 exons. The record is from RefSeq and is a predicted model, not a curated record.
AAUAAGGAGUUCGUGUAACUUCUCUUGCAUGCCCAACUCAAUUUGCAUAACCUAUUUUUUCUGGAUUAUUAAUAUUCGGACAAAGUUGCUCGAAGUUUACCUGUUUCAAUAACUAUGCAAAUAUCCUUUGCAAAAAUAUCGUAUGGUGCUUCGUUUUUGAAUUAUUAACGAAAAACCACCGACCAAUCACAGUGCUCGAGUAGCGCGCGCUGAGUCGCGAGGAUAAGCUCGAGCCAGGACGCUCGGGAUAGCGCGCGCUACUCGAGCACUGUGAUUGGCCGGUGGUUUUUUGUUAAUAAUUCAAAAACGAAGCACCAUCCGAUAUUUUUGCAAAGGAAAUUGUUGUUCAGAAUCGUGUCAACGAUCCCCCAUUUCCGGUUCUUAUACUAAUUCUGGGACGUUCUGUAUAAUAUGUUUUUUUUUCUCUUCUAUCGAUCAAAACGCCACGCGAAAGAGUGUUUGGAGAACUUUCCAGGAACGUAAUGUACAAUGUCCUAACGACGAGCGAUUCGUGGCGUUCUUCGCGAGAGAUUACGCGAGUAAGUGCAGGGCCGUAUACGCUAUAACAGCGUCCAACGCACCCCUCUCAUUAACGAUUAAGCACGUCCUUCACAUAUCAUUAGCUAAUUACCCAUGCGUCUUGCCGUGAAAACUUAAUGUUAGGAUUAGUGCCUCGACGUGAAACAUGCUCGGCCCAAUUUUCUCGGCGCAGCGUGUCCAGAGAGGAAAACGCGUCCUUUUUCGACGAAUUAUUGAUCACCACGUUGCACACCUGAUUUAGGUUCCGUUAAUUAUGCAAUUAACGUAAUUGCUUGGAAUAACGUUGCUUCCUACUUGAAGGUUCUCGAAGCAGCUACCAAACGAGCCCAGACGACUAAAUAUUACAAUGAAUUGUUUAUAUUUCACCGUUACUGUUUGUUGCAUUAAAUCGAUUUCGAAAAAGCAAAGGAGCGAAGGAGUAUAGAUUCUUUGAUGUCUUGUUAAUUACAGAAACGUUUUAUUACAGAAUAUAAGUUAUAUUCAAAAAGCAAAUAAAAAUUAUAUAUAUAUAUAUAUUUUCUAAUCAAAUUUUCUUAGUUUUGGUAAGCAUAACUAGAAAUUAUUGAAAUAUAAUAUUAUCAUAGUUACAACUAUUAUAAAACAUCAAAUGCUCAGUGAAGGAGACAGUUGGAUGAAAUAAUUUAAACAUAAGUAAGAAACAUUUUCCAAAGCCAAAGAAUCUAUCUUGUUAAAUUCAUUAUUUGGUAUUUAUCAUAAUUUACAAUUUAUUAUUUAUUUUUAUAGCGAAAAGAACAUAUCCGACAAACAAUUUGAAAUUUAUGGAAAUUUGGAUUGACAUGACACGUCAUUUGAUUAUGCGUUAAUCUAAUAAUUAACUCGAUUCCAGCGUAACCACAGACUCAAACAUGAGAAAUUUUAAUUUUCUCAAAUUCCACGUCUCGUUUCUCGUGUUUCUCAUAUUCUCUAGUCCAUCUACCAAGAAUAAAGAAGGUUGAAUCUAUUUUUCAUGUAUCACAGGAGAACGCGUUAAAUCUUUGGAUAUCUGGAUGCCAAAGUGGGUCAAUUUUUGUCUUUGGAUAGUUUGUUCCUGCCUAUGCAAUUCGUAGUGCAUCAUUUAUCGCGGUUGAUGCAUUCAGGAUGUUGGUAGCAACCGAACCAUGUCCCUAGAAAAUCACCGUCUAAAGAAUACAGUUGAAAAAUUGCCAAAACCAACCUGAAAGCGUUUCGUUUCGCUGAAAGUUUCAAGCAAACGCUCCACAUUUUUUAAUCCCUUCUCCGCGGGACUUCAACGAAAAUAUUUUCUUUGGAAGUUGCAAGAUGAGUAAAAACGUAUUUUCAUGUUACAGCGAUAUCGAUUCUUCGUUUCGAAUAUUAUGCGAAGACUCAACGAUGUAAGUAAUUCCGAUCUUCGAUUUAUUUGUGCCUAACCGAGUCGAAGAAUCACUGCUCCGUCGAAAACGUUUCAAUUGCAGCUUCGACGAAGUUUAAGCAGACUGUUGGAGGAGAUAAAUUAUUUAAUAAAUUAAUACUUGACCAUUUAAAUUGGCAGUUAUUUCAAAAUUUAUUAUUUGGAGGCUUAAAUGAGUUUUAAAUUAUUCCCUACUAGAAUUUCGUUUUGAUGUGAUUUCUUGCUUUGCCAAAUUUUGUCGUUACUAGCCUGCGGAUGUUUAUGUAUUUAUGAUAAAUAAAAAUAUGGAAAAGUGUACGAGGAUGUGCAUGAAAAUAGAAUUUUAUUUUGUUUUGCAUAGAAAUCCGCAGACUGUUCAAAAGUGAACUGGAAAAUUAUGAACAAUCAUGAGAGGUUUGAGUAUCGAUUGAGUUCUAAACGAGUAUCAAUUCUUCGACUCGAGCGGCGACUAGAAGUAUGGCUCUAAGACUUUAGCGAACCGUGAACCCCAGAACAAAGUAAUUGAUAUAAAUAAAACUAUAUAGAUACAUAUACAUAUAUUUUUCGCUAUAGAAUCGCUUCUCAACUCGACAGGCCUAAGAAUUUCGGUGUGAGAACGAGUACGUUUAACACGUUAAACGAUUCCAGGCAUUCCGUUUGCCCUUGUGGACUGGCUAUACAUUUUAUUAGGUUGGCAACAAAUUCCCGCCGUUUUUUUUUUCAUUGCACCUUAAAAUUGAAAAAAAGGAAAAACGGCGUGAACUAAGUUGCCAACCUAAUAUAUUUAUGCUAGAGCGCCGAUUAGUCAGGAAAAGUUUCGUGUCUGUAAUAAAUAAAUAAAGUUGUCGAAGUUGAUAUAAACGCUGUCCAAAGUAAAACGUAUUUAAUAGAUUUGAGUAAAAAUUGUGUAUUACAAAUGAAGAAAGGUAUACGAUAAAUUUUGGACAAUUCUAGGUCAGGAAUGUGUAAUUGCCAAAAAGAAAAAAAUAAAACAAAAUGCUACUUAUUUUUUUAAAUUAGACAAUCUGUCUAAAUUAGAACUCAUUUAACAGAUUUGAUUGAAAAAUUAUGUUUUACAAAUGCAGAAAGGUAUGCAAACGCGUAACCUAGAAAACUUAAUAACAUCUAAUAAUACAUAUGUAGUAUUAACACGAACAACUACAGUUCAGGAAUGGACUAAUUUCUAAACAGAAAAAGUAAACAAAAUGAAAGGCAACGUGUAGUUAAAGAAGAAGUGGGGUGAUUUUCUCCAUACAGUUGACUAACAAUAAGUGUCGAAUCAUUGAACGAGAUUGAAGCUCAAAAAUAAAAAGGCUCCAAGCUCAAAACCUAAAUUUUUACAGUCGUCGUUCAACUACCCUUCUAAUUUUCCUACUCGCUUCUAUAGUUUUUUACUCGGCAGUAAAGUGCGACGUGAACGGGACGUCAGGCAAAUCAAGCUCAACGUUUAAUGUGUUAAGCAUCGUGGUGGUGCCAAACGUGGUAAAAUAUGAAACAUCGAUACCGAAGGGAAAAAAGCGAGAAAGCGUUGACAGUGCAAGCAGAAUACGAGUAAAAGGGAAUUAAAUUAAUAAUGAAACUAACGAGCUUAAAGCGUGAGAGUGCAAUUGGUAAUUAAUUGGGAAAAAAUGAAUUAACGAUACCGAUAAGCUGAAAACAUGGGGGGAAUUGAAUGAAAAGCGACGGAAAGGUGACGCAAGAGAACCGACGAGGUUUGUUGGAGGAAUGGUUGGAAAAUGAAGGGAAAAAUAGAAAGGAAAAAAAUCGUACGCGGUCAUUUCGCUAAUUAAAUAACUGGAUUGUGCGUGAACGCGCGAGCGAGCAGUUUCGUUUCGGUGAACGUUCGUGGUUAUUUCGUUCAGCACCGACGCGUUUCGAGUAUCCUGCGUAUUGACCUGUCCUGGACUGUGGAAAUCAAUUUCGUGAAAUUUAUUCCACGGCUCUUCUCGCUCCAAUAAUUAAGAAUUUAUCAAUUUCCGAUCCGACAAUUGGCAAACUGCCACUCUAUGCCUAUCUUUUCACUCGAAAUUUAUGUAGAAACUGUUGAUCAAAAACUUACUGGCACGCUUACUUCUCUUUUACUACAUUUAUGCGUUGAAGUAACGUAUUACGCGUAGAAAGGAAUUCCGUGCUUUUCUAUUCAAUCAUUUAUAACUGUAGUUUAAGUAAAAAUAGUUCCCACUCGUUGUUUCCUGAAUCCUUAACCUGUUCCCCAUUAUAAUGAAUCUAUAUUAUGGUUUUUCUUGAAAUCUAUAAAAAACAUAUUCGUGCAAAAUUUGAGUUCUUAAUUCUACCAUUAACACGUGCCUCGAACCUGCGAAUAUUUUAAACGGAACGUAUUAUACAUACAAUUUUUUUGAUUGGUUACUUAUUUUUAUAACUUAACUAAAAAUUGAUGAAAUGAUUCGAAAUUUGCCAAAGUUAUUACCGACAACUCUGGUAUCUUGAAUUCCAAUCCUAUUAUUAAUAUAAAAUAUAAAUAUGCCAAUCGUAAAAGAAAUUAAUUUCAAUUAAUUGUCUCGUUCUAUUUACAAUACCUGUAAAAGCACAGAUUGAAAGUAAUGAGUGAACACAGGAUAGAGGAUCGUAGCACCACCUGCAAAAGAAAAAUGGGAGAAACAGAUCGUGCGUGUAAGGGGCCAGAGGAACCAAGAUUAAUAUUAAUGUCGAUUAUUUUUCUCCUCCUAUUCUAAUGAAACAUCAAAAUCAGGAGGAAAGUAAUGAAAGGAAACAGGAGAGAUGAGAGAAAUAAUCGCGGUGAAUCCGUCUAUCGAAUAAAAUGAAAGCGUAGAGAAAAUGAAGGAGGAAUAGAGGGCGGUGUUGAUAACUGGUAAUAAAAAUAAAUCGCUAUUAUUUCUCUUCUCCUAUUGCAGUCAAUUAUCAGAGACAAAUAGAAUAAAAUAAAAGAGAACGAGGAUGAGCAUGAGAAACACCGAGUACUCGUGAAAAACUGGUGAGAGAAGCUUGAGUGGAAAAACAGCAAUGAAAAUUAAUCAUAAUUGGACUGCAAAUUUUAUGCACUUAUGACGUACAAUAAUAUAGAAAUUAUCCAUAAAAAUAUGCAUAAUGUAUGUUGAAUAUAUUCUAUAACUAAUAUAAUAAUAUUGUUACUUCGUUUUGUAUAAGUAUGUGUACUUUUUGGUAAUGUUUUAGCAUGUGUUUAUUAUAUUAGUUUAUGUUAUAAACUCAUAUAAUCUCCAGUCUAAUCAUAAUUCUAUUCCUUCUUUUUCUUCUCUUACUCUGAUUAACCAUUAGAAACUAUUAUUAUCAUAUUUUUUAUACCUCUGCGAAAAUAACGCGACAUUUUUAUAAGUCGGCAUGGUACCGAAAGUGCAUACUUUUUGCAAUUUUCUGCUGCGAAGGCAAGUAAUUAAAAGUUUUGAAAACUUUAAAACUCUGUAACUUUGUCAAAAAUGAACCAAAUUGAAAAAAUCGAAAACGGUUGCGUUCGUCUUAUUGUCGGCUGCAACUUUUAUUUGCAGAAAAAAAUCGAUUUCAAUUUAAAAAAGUGACUGCCAUGAUAAAAUCCCGAAAGUAGCGCCAUCCACAAUAAAACUGAUAACGCCAUCUUGUGUCCCCCUUGGAACCGUACAACUUUUGUCGAAAAUAUUUUUUACCAGUCUUCCGUCCAUCCCUAUGAGUAAAAAUAGAUACAAACUGACGAGUAAAUGUAUUUGUUUGAACUAGAGUUACGAAUAGGUGAAUGUAGAGGCACAGAAUUAAUUUCUACACCUAACAUUUGCAAACAUUUCGAUUUCACGACGCGGCAGUAUAACGUUCACCUUCUUUUCUUCCACGCUGUAUGCCGACAUUAUUUACCAGUGAUCCGUAGAACUUGGUUAACAACCUAAUAAAGGAGAGGAGUAAAAUGAACAAGGGAAACCGGCGGUGGUGGGAGCCAUGCGAACGGGCAAUCGCAAAGAGGCCAAGAGGGACGAUGGUGCUUCUCCGAACGGAAAAGAGAACGUGGAUAAAGAAAAAAAAAAAGACACGGAGAGAGAGCGAAAAGGAAGCAUACGAGUGUGGUACUUAGUUGGAAAAAGGGUCGCGCCGAGCGUAGUGCUGCACUACUGAAAACACUGGAUCCGCUUAAACAGAGAAAAGCGAAAAGCAGGCCCGGUUUCUCGUAAACUGUCGGAAAAGAGGAUGCGUAAAAUGCUGAGAACAGAUGCAUGGAGGAUAAAGGUUGCCGUAUUCUCCGUAUGGCAUUCGCUAGAACCAACAGUACUUUACUAUCGAUCAGCGUCAGCUGGAAGAUAUCGCUCGCUUCGCGUACCGUUCCGUUCUGUGUGUUUCGCUUGUUUCCUUGGAGAAUACUUUACCAGUGGCUUCUCGCUAUUGCAUGAAGGAUUGCUAUCUCUGUAAUUAGGUAUGAUAGCGAUUCGUCGUGGCAUUCGAGAAGGGAGAAAUAAAUUAAAGAAUUUUAAUCGUUUCUACAACAAACGAAACUUUUUUUUUUAUGUGUACAGUUCAUUUAUACGACGUUUAGUUUCAGAGAUAAAAGUUGAAAACUUAAAAGAGCUUCUUUCUGAAAUUCAAUUUUUGCAACGAACUUUUAACUUUAGAAUUCUUAUUUUCGAAAUUAAGCAUCCUGUGAUUAAACAGUAAAUAUAACAAAGUCUCGUAUCAUCGUCCCCUGUAAGCCAAUAUUUUUUCAAAUUCGAUUCAACAAAUAUCCUUUGACAGAUAUAUUUUUAAAGUUCUACACUGUGAGAUAAAAGUUCUAGAUUAGAAUACCUCUUUAAACCAAAACAUCCCCCUAAGUGUUGCCAUGAAAAGCGCGAUACUCGCGUGUAAUUGAAGGAAUAGACGUAUUUUUCGAUCGAGCGAAACAAGUUACGUCUUUCUUAAGCGUCAAACAUUCCAUCCGAGAGCGUUUGAAUAGUUCGAUGGACGCGCUGUAUUUCGCAGAAUGGAUUGAAAAUAGAGACCGAGGCGCAAGAGGCGGCUAAAUUAUUCCACGUCAGGUAGGGGUAGUUUUUUUCAGUUUUUUUUUUUCGGUAGGUUGAGGAGAGGGGCACUCGCGUUCCACCUUGAAAAAAAAAAACCACGAGCCCGCGAGGCUGGGUGUACUUUGGGACGAAGAUGGAAACGGUGAAAAGAACGGGAAUGAAUACGCGAGCACAGAGGCACCGAAGCACACCUGGCUUACCCUCGAGCACGCUUCAAAGUCAGCUCUUUGAUCGCUCCUACGGGGCAAACGGCCUAAGUGGGCCAACACUCGGAUUCCAGAGCAACAAACACCGACAACGCUGUUUUAUUUUCCCGCGUAUAAUCGCGCUUUUCCCAUGGAACACUAGCUCUCGCGAUCAUUCGUUAUUUUCGUUCAGAUUUCUGCGGUUUGGGACGAAAUGAUAGCUCGUUAGCCAUUCUUCUUUAUAAACGCAACUCUUUAACACGUUCCGCGUGUACCAUUUAUAGUACACCUUUAAUUUGACUAUAAAUGGUAUACGCAGAAAUAUUUAUUCGAUGCACUGAAAACAUAUAUUUUAUGACAAAUUUAAUCCUGUAAAAUAUAUUUCCACCAAACGAACGAGGCAUUAUUAAAAAUGCAGUAUAAAACAAAAUAAGCUAAUUACUUAUGGAUUUAUUACGUGAUGAAAUAUUUUUUGAUAAUAUCUAUCCUUAAGCACUUUCGAUACGUAAUCCAUAUACAGGUGAAUGCUUUUCAUUGAAGAGCUAAAAAAAUAAUUCUGAAAGUUAAGCGUCAAAGAAAACCAAUUUCGAUGAAAUACUUGAAUUUCGAUGAAGUUGCAGAAAUAAAUAUCACAAGAAACGUUUGACUAUGAAAUUUACAAUAUUCUGCAAACAAAAUUUAAUUACAGUAGAAAUGUUCAAUACUAUUAGUCUGGCAAUUAACGUGUUAAUCCGUUACCCACUUUUCAAGUAAUUUUCAUAAUUAUUUUGCAGGGAGAGUACUUGACAUAACCUUUUGAAAUUUGGUACGUUUGUUUAUACAUGUAUGUAUUGUAGGAAACUCUGUUAAAUUUACACCUGGCCUGCACGAUGUUACGUGCAAUAUUCAAUGUGACGUCAGAUGAAACGGGGCUGGAAUAUUAACGCGAGGUCAGUCUGGUUGGUCGAACCAAUGAUAAAGGUUUUUAUUUUAUUCAUUACGAAUAUGGUUAUAGCCUGUACUAUAGAAAAAAGUACUGAGAGGAAAUUGAUAAAAUACAGGCAAUUCAAAUUUAAAUGUUCAAUUUCUUUACAAAAUUUUUGCGUCUAGCUCGAAAAAAUAAGAAUUAUUAAAGUAACAAAAUAAUCUCAACUGUGUCAUCUAAUAAGUUUAAUGUAAAAAUUCCUACUUUUGAGAAUAAAUUCAACUUUGAUAUCCCUA